CAGUCGCCGCGGUAAUGCGUAGGUGGCAAGCGUUGUCCGGAAUUAUUGGGCGUAAAGCGCGCGCAGGCGGAUAGGUCAGUCUGUCUUAAAAGUUCGGGGCUUAACCCCGUGAUGGGAUGGAAACUGCCAAUCUAGAGUAUCGGAGAGGAAAGUGGAAUUCCUAGUGUAGCGGUGAAAUGCGUAGAUAUUAGGAAGAACACCAGUGGCGAAGGCGACUUUCUGGACGAAAACUGACGCUGAGGUGCGAAAGCCAGGGGAGCGAACGGGAUUAGAUACCCCAGUAGUCCCUGUCUCUUAUACC
RNAcentral lists this ribosomal RNA (301 nucleotides) under uncultured bacterium. Its description in RNAcentral is "partial 16S ribosomal RNA". It matches the Rfam family "Bacterial small subunit ribosomal RNA", at positions 509 to 808 of the family's 1533-position model. The record is from RNAcentral.